Molecule: non-coding RNA, 345 nt
Organism: Ictidomys tridecemlineatus (thirteen-lined ground squirrel)
Lineage: Eukaryota; Metazoa; Chordata; Mammalia; Rodentia; Sciuridae
Source: RefSeq, a predicted model, not a curated record
ACUCAUUAGCCAAUCAGGUUCGGAGGCCACUUCACAAGCCCACUUCCUGUCUCUCCCUCUCCGUUUUGGUGGGCUGGUUGAAGAUGAAAUCUACUGAAGAGGUCUUUAGUACCUUGUGUGCCAUCCCAGAAGUGGCCCCUGAAAGCCUUCGUAAUAUGUAUAUAUUCCCUAAAAAUCAAGCGAGCUUGGAUUUGGACAUUCCUAAUAGAAAAGGUUAAAGGCUGAUUGAGGCAGGCUUGAUGCUACGUAAUUGAUAGAUCCUAAAAGUCAACUUUAUUCCUAGAUAGAAGCUGGAUUCAUCUAAUAGCAGAGGUAAGUAUAAGAGAAAAAUAUGAAUUUUUAUCU